GGUGGAGAGGCCCUUUGUAAGGCUUGCCAAGUCACAGCCCACAGCAGAGGACACUUGAUCGCAGGGAGCCCCUGUCUAAACAACAUGGCUUGGACCCUGGAGCAAGCAGACUUGGAAAGGCAUGGGGAUAGGGGCCCUGGUCUUGAUCCAUGGAGAGGUGGUGCACAAGAGUGAGCAGAACCUUUCAGACCACUCACGCCAGGCCUACACUUUCCACCUCAUGGAAGCCACUGGCACCGUCUGGAGCCCUGAGAACUGGCUCCAGCCGACAGCUGAGCUGCCGUUUCCUGCCUUGUACACCUAAAGCCCUUGAAGGGUUGGGACCAUCACCUCCCAGUGCAGCUGUGGACUACAAACCCCAGCACGCUGCCUCCCGUGCCGGCUGCAGUGGGGAAGCUGUGAACCUGCAGAGCUCUCCUCCUUCAGGGUCUGUGCUUUCAGCCCUGUAGAAGCUGGGGGAGGCUGAUGUGGCAGGGCCUUCCCCAAGAUCUUGGUCUCUCUGCACCUUACUCCCCCACACAAACUUCCCCUUGAGGUGGCCUCUCAGCCAUGAAAGAGGUCUGGUCCAUUUUCAAGUCCUCUCUCAGGAGCAACUCUAAUAAUUACGCUGUAAGACACUCAAUAAAAAUGACUUCUGAAUGUA
This is a non-coding RNA of Marmota flaviventris (yellow-bellied marmot), 643 nucleotides long. The record is from RefSeq and is a predicted model, not a curated record. NCBI's taxonomy places the organism in Eukaryota, Metazoa, Chordata, Mammalia, Rodentia, Sciuridae.